Molecule: ribosomal RNA, 800 nt
Filed under: uncultured Bacteroidota bacterium
Lineage: Bacteria; Pseudomonadati; Bacteroidota
Description: bacterial SSU rRNA
Rfam family: Bacterial small subunit ribosomal RNA
Source: RNAcentral
GUAGCAAUACUUUUGGUGGCGACCGGCGCACGGGUGAGUAACACGUAUGCAACCUACCUGUAAGCGGGGAAUAACCCGAAGAAAUUCGGACUAACACCGCAUAAUACUGUUGAACCGCAUGGUUUAACAGUUAAAUAUUCAUAGCUUACAGAUGGGCAUGCGUAUGAUUAGCUAGUUGGUGGGGUAACGGCUCACCAAGGCAACGAUCAUUAGGGGUUCUGAGAGGAAGGUCCCCCACACUGGUACUGAGAUACGGACCAGACUCCUACGGGAGGCAGCAGUGAGGAAUAUUGGUCAAUGGGCGAGAGCCUGAACCAGCCAAGUCGCGUGAAGGAAGAAGGUUCUAUGGAUUGUAAACUUCUUUUGUAAGGGAAUAAAGUGCGCUACGUGUAGCGUUUUGUAUGUACUUUACGAAUAAGGAUCGGCUAACUCCGUGCCAGCAGCCGCGGUAAUACGGAGGAUCCGAGCGUUAUCCGGAUUUAUUGGGUUUAAAGGGUGCGCAGGCGGACCCUUAAGUCAGUGGUGAAAGUUUGCAGCUCAACUGUAAAAUUGCCAUUGAAACUGAGGGUCUUGAGUGUAAAUGAGGUAGGCGGAAUGUGUUGUGUAGCGGUGAAAUGCUUAGAUAUAACACAGAACACCAAUUGCGAAGGCAGCUUACUAGGAUACAACUGACGCUCAGGCACGAAAGCGUGGGGAUCAAACAGGAUUAGAUACCCUGGUAGUCCACGCAGUAAACGAUGAAUACUAACUGUAUGCGAUAUAGUGUAUGUGGUAAAGCGAAAGCGUUAAGUAUUCCACCU